CCUACGGGAGGCAGCAGUGGGGAAUAUUGGGCAAUGGAGGCAACUCUGACCCAGCAAUGCCGCGUGAGUGAUGAAGGUAAUUUUAUUGUUAAGCCUCUUUCUUUGGAACGAAUAAAUGACGGUACCCAAGCAAUAAGCCUCGGCUAACUACGUGCCAGCAGCCGCGGCAAUCCGUAGGGGGCAAGCGUGGUUCGGAAUGAAUGGGCGUUAAGGGUGUGUGGGUGGUUUGAUAAGUUAGAUGUGUAAUACCCAGGGCUUAAAUCCGGUGCUGCAGCUCAAACUGUUAAUCUUGAGUACGGGAGAGGUUAGUGGAAUGCGUGGUGUAGCGGUGGAAUGCAUAGAUAUUAGGCAGAACAUCAGUGGCGAAGGCGACUAUCUGGUCAACAACUGACACUGAGGCACGAAAGCGUGGGUAGCGAACAGGAUUAGAUACCCUAGUAGUC
This 443-nucleotide ribosomal RNA is filed under the name uncultured bacterium. RNAcentral's name for it is "partial 16S ribosomal RNA". It matches the Rfam family "Bacterial small subunit ribosomal RNA", at positions 338 to 795 of the family's 1533-position model. The record is from RNAcentral.